RNAcentral lists this ribosomal RNA (253 nucleotides) under uncultured bacterium. RNAcentral describes it as "partial 16S ribosomal RNA". It matches the Rfam family "Bacterial small subunit ribosomal RNA", at positions 524 to 776 of the family's 1533-position model. The record is from RNAcentral.
UACAGAGGGUGCAAGCGUUAAUCGGAAUUACUGGGCGUAAAGCGCGCGUAGGUGGUUCGUUAAGUUGGAUGUGAAAGCCCCGGGCUCAACCUGGGAACUGCAUUCAAAACUGACAAGCUAGAGUAUGGUAGAGGGUGGUGGAAUUUCCUGUGUAGCGGUGAAAUGCGUAGAUAUAGGAAGGAGCACCAGUGGCGAAGGCGACCACCUGGACUGAUACUGACACUGAGGUGCGAAAGCGUGGGGAGCAAACAGG